GAUGAACGCUGGCGGUAUGCUUAACACAUGCAAGUCGAACGGACUCUUCGGAGUUAGUGGCGGACGGGUGAGUAACGCGUGAGAAUCUGGCUUUGGGUUCGGGACAACCACUGGAAACGGUGGCUAAUACCGGAUGUGCCGAGAGGUAAAAGAGAAAUUGCCUGAAGAUGAGCUCGCGUCUGAUUAGCUAGUUGGUGAGGUAAAGGCUCACCAAGGCAGCGAUCAGUAGCUGGUCUGAGGGGAUGACCAGCCACACUGGGACUGAGACACGGCCGAGACUCCUACGGGAGGCAGGAGUGGGAAAUUUUCCGCAAUGGGCGAAAGCCUGACGGAGCAAUACCGCGUGAGAGAAGAAGGCUCUUGGGUUGUAAACCUCUUUUCUUAGGGAAGAACAGAAUGACGGUACCUAAGGAAUCAGCAUCGGCUAACUCCGUG
Molecule: ribosomal RNA, 435 nt
Filed under: uncultured bacterium
Lineage: Bacteria
Description: partial 16S ribosomal RNA
Rfam family: Bacterial small subunit ribosomal RNA
Source: RNAcentral